RNAcentral lists this transfer RNA (67 nucleotides) under Marmota monax (woodchuck). Its description in RNAcentral is "tRNA.Ala". It matches the Rfam family "tRNA". Rfam says of the family: Transfer RNA (tRNA) molecules are approximately 80 nucleotides in length. The record is from RNAcentral. Lineage: Eukaryota; Metazoa; Chordata; Mammalia; Rodentia; Sciuridae.
GGUUAUGGCUCAGUGGUAGAGCGCUUGCCUCGCAUGUGUGAGGCACUGGGUUCAAUUCUCAGCACCA